GGGGAUCUAUUUACAGAAACAGAAGGGUUUAUAAUAACAGUAAGGACCAGGUAAUAAACACAAAAAACUACAAAAAUAUAUUUUUACGAUGAUAUACAACAAAAUAUAAUAUAUUUGUAAUAUGAAAAAAUAUAUAAUGAAGGACAUCACAUUGACAAACGACACUUGUAGGAAAUGCCACAUAGCCUCCGAAACAAUUCAACACAUUACAUCAGGUUGCAAGCUGCUUGCACAAACAGAUUACCUAUACAGACACAACCAAGUAGCAAACAUAAUAUACCAAAAGCUUGCAACCAAACACAAAUUGAUAAACACAUUCACAUUAUAUCACAAAUACAUAUCAGACACAAUCUUAGAAAACUCGACACACAAGAUGUACUAUGACAGAACAAUCUUAACAGAC
This 403-nucleotide long non-coding RNA is filed under the name Androctonus crassicauda. The record is from RNAcentral. Lineage: Eukaryota; Metazoa; Arthropoda; Arachnida; Scorpiones; Buthidae.